GANGAACGCUGGCGGCGUGCUUAACACAUGCAAGUCGAACGGAAAGGCCUCAGCUUUUGUUGGGGUGCUCGAGUGGCGAACGGGUGAGUAACACGUGGGUGAUCUGCCUCGUACUUCGGGAUAAGCUUGGGAAACUGGGUCUAAUACCGGAUAGGACCAUCAUUUAGUGUUGGUGGUGGAAAGUUUUUUCGGUGCGAGAUGAGCCCGCGGCCUAUCAGCUUGUUGGUGGGGUAAUGGCCUACCAAGGCGUCGACGGGUAGCCGGCCUGAGAGGGUGGACGGCCACAUUGGGACUGAGAUACGGCCCAGACUCCUACGGGAGGCAGCAGUGGGGAAUAUUGCACAAUGGGCGCAAGCCUGAUGCAGCGACGCCGCGUGGGGGAUGACGGCCUUCGGGUUGUAAACCUCUUUCGGUAGGGACGAAGCCUUUUUGGUGACGGUACCUGUAGAAGAAGCACCGGCUAACUACGUGCCAGCAGCCGCGGUAAUACGUAGGGUGCGAGCGUUGUCCGGAAUUACUGGGCGUAAAGAGCUCGUAGGUGGUUUGUUGCGUCGUCUGUGGAAUACCGGGGCUUAACUUCGGAGCUGCAGGCGAUACGGGCAUAACUGGAGUGCUGUAGGGGAGACUGGAAUUCCUGGUGUAGCGGUGGAAUGCGCAGAUAUCAGGAGGAACACCGAUGGCGAAGGCAGGUCUCUGGGCAGUAACUGACGCUGAGGAGCGAAAGCAUGGGGAGCGAACAGGAUUAGAUACCCUGGUAGUCCAUGCUGUAAACGGUGGGCGCUAGGUGUAGGGGUCUUCCACGAUUUCUGUGCCGUAGCUAACGCAUUAAGCGCCCCGCCUGGGGAGUACGGCCGCAAGGCUAAAACUCAAAGGAAUUGACGGGGGCCCGCACAAGCGGCGGAGCAUGUGGAUUAAUUCGAUGCAACGCGAAGAACCUUACCUGGGCUUGACAUACACCAGAUCGGCACAGAGGUGUGUUUUCCCUUUGUGGUUGGUGUACAGGUGGUGCAUGGUUGUCGUCAGCUCGUGUCGUGAGAUGUUGGGUUAAGUCCCGCAACGAGCGCAACCCUUGUCUUAUGUUGCCAGCACGUGGUGGUGGGGACUCAUGAGAGACUGCCGGGGUUAACUCGGAGGAAGGUGGGGAUGACGUCAAAUCAUCAUGCCCCUUACGUCCAGGGCUUCACACAUGCUACAAUGGUCGGUACAACGCGCUGCGAGCCUGUGAGGGUGAGCGAAUCGCUGAAAGCCGGCCUCAGUUCGGAUUGGGGUCUGCAACUCGACCCCAUGAAGUCGGAGUCGCUAGUAAUCGCAGAUCAGCAACGCUGCGGUGAAUACGUUCCCGGGCCU
Molecule: ribosomal RNA, 1347 nt
Filed under: uncultured bacterium
Lineage: Bacteria
Description: bacterial SSU rRNA
Rfam family: Bacterial small subunit ribosomal RNA
Source: RNAcentral